UUGAAAGGGAAACGAUUGAAGUCAGUCGUACCAGCGGGAAAUCAACCUUUCGAGUGGGAUUUUGGAGUUUUGAAGAGUGUUAAAACCUUUGAGAUUUCAAAAUGUUCGCUCUUUUGGUGUACUUUCUCGUAGGUAGGUUAACAUCGAUUUUGAUCAUCAUAAAAGGAUUGGAGGAAUGUAGCUUCGAUCUCGUAUUGAAGUGUUAUAGCCUUUGGUAAAUGUGGUGAUUAGGACCGAGGAUUGCAACGAAUACCUUUUAGGCUAUCCGUCUGACCUCUGAAAGUUACUUAGGUGCCGAAAGCUUGCUUAUGGUAUUAAGGUAUUACGGUCAAAAGGUUAGAACGGAUUACAUUCGUUAAGGAUGUUGACGUA
RNAcentral lists this ribosomal RNA (372 nucleotides) under uncultured Glomeromycotina. Its description in RNAcentral is "LSU rRNA". Lineage: Eukaryota; Fungi; Glomeromycota. The record is from RNAcentral.